RNAcentral lists this ribosomal RNA (979 nucleotides) under Chryseobacterium sp. RNAcentral's name for it is "bacterial SSU rRNA". It matches the Rfam family "Bacterial small subunit ribosomal RNA", at positions 127 to 1106 of the family's 1533-position model. Lineage: Bacteria; Pseudomonadati; Bacteroidota; Flavobacteriia; Flavobacteriales; Weeksellaceae. The record is from RNAcentral.
UGCCUUUAUCUGGGGGAUAGCCUUUCGAAAGGGAGAUUAAUACCCCAUAAUAUAUUUAUCGGCAUCGAUAGAUAUUGAAAACUCCGGUGGAUAGAGAUGGGCACGCGCAAGAUUAGAUAGUUGGUGAGGUAACGGCUCACCAAGUCUACGAUCUUUAGGGGGCCUGAGAGGGUGAUCCCCCACACUGGUACUGAGACACGGACCAGACUCCUACGGGAGGCAGCAGUGAGGAAUAUUGGACAAUGGGUGAGAGCCUGAUCCAGCCAUCCCGCGUGAAGGACGACGGCCCUAUGGGUUGUAAACUUCUUUUGUAUAGGGAUAAACCUACUCUCGUGAGAGUAGCUGAAGGUACUAUACGAAUAAGCACCGGCUAACUCCGUGCCAGCAGCCGCGGUAAUACGGAGGGUGCAAGCGUUAUCCGGAUUUAUUGGGUUUAAAGGGUCCGUAGGCGGAUCUGUAAGUCAGUGGUGAAAUCUCACAGCUUAACUGUGAAACUGCCAUUGAUACUGCAGGUCUUGAGUGUUGUUGAAGUAGCUGGAAUAAGUAGUGUAGCGGUGAAAUGCAUAGAUAUUACUUAGAACACCAAUUGCGAAGGCAGGUUACUAAGCAACAACUGACGCUGAUGGACGAAAGCGUGGGGAGCGAACAGGAUUAGAUACCCUGGUAGUCCACGCCGUAAACGAUGCUAACUCGUUUUUGGGUUUUCGGAUUCAGAGACUAAGCGAAAGUGAUAAGUUAGCCACCUGGGGGAGUACGUUCGCAAGAAUGAAACUCAAAGGAAUUGACGGGGGCCCGCACAAGCGGUGGAUUAUGUGGGUUUAAUUCGAUGAUACGCGAGGAACCUUACCAAGGCUUAAAUGGGAAAUGACAGGUUUAGAAAUAGACUUUUCUUCGGACAUUUUUCAAGGUGCUGCAUGGGUUGUCGUCAGCUCGUGCCGUGAGGUGGUUAAGGUUAAGUCCUGCAACGAGCGCAACCCCU